GACGAACCGUGCUAACGUUGUUCGGAAUCACUGGGCUUAAAGGGCGCGUAGGCGGCCUGUUAAGUCGAACGUGAAAUCCCUGGGCUCAACCCAGGAACUGCGUCCGAUACUGGCAGGCUUGAAUCCGGGAGAGGGAUGUGGAAUUCCAGGUGUAGCGGUGAAAUGCGUAGAUAUCUGGAGGAACACCGGUGGCGAAGGCGAGUCCCUGGACAACACCUGACACUGAGGCACGAAAGCUAGGGGAGCAAACAGG
Molecule: ribosomal RNA, 253 nt
Filed under: uncultured bacterium
Lineage: Bacteria
Description: partial 16S ribosomal RNA
Rfam family: Bacterial small subunit ribosomal RNA
Source: RNAcentral